AUUCUCCUGAGGAGGGGGUCUUGAGAGCUGAGACACAGAAGGGAGUAGAAGGAGAAGCUGUUUGUUUGGGCCAUUUCAAGACACCUUUGGAGAUUUCUUUCACUGACAGAAAUCCUAGCAAUGCUGGUUCCUCUUGAAACAUUGGUUCCUGUUAACAAACCUACUUUCUCCGAAGACUUUCAUUCCAUGAACUAUUGAGAUACUGGACUCAAUUCGUAAUAAUGAAUAUUCGCCAGACAAGUAUUUCAUACAUCAUAAUCACAAAUCACAAGAAAAAGGACCUUUAAAUUCCCAAGCUGACAUUUACUCAUACCUUUAUUUGGGAUUUGAUCAUAAAGUAAUCAUUCUUCCCAGAUGAGGAGAGUCUUAUGGGAAUGAAUGCAUGCUCUAGGAUGUGUCCAGAUACUUCUAAGGCAAGAAAUUUAUGAUGUCUCAGGUGGCUUUGAAGUUACAAGUUUGACUGGCUUUUUACCAUAUUUGGAAGAAGGAUGAUGUCUCAGUCCCAGGAUAAGAAGACUAUCUUGAAGAAUGAAGGUUUUCAGAACAAGAUGAAAACUUUAGCUACCCCACCUACUGAGAAGAAACCUUCAGCUGACUGACCACCACUUGCUGAGGGGAGUUGGUGUACUUUGACUCUGUAGGCUAUAUAUAUUUGUCAUUUCCUUAUCUCUACAUCUUUGGUUAGCAUGGGAUGGUUCUGGACUCUGCUAUUUUAUAAUUUAAAAGGCCUAUUAUAAAAUGUCAAUUUAGCCUUCCUUAUUGCUUCUCAGUAUUUAUUUAAUUUCAAUAUUUCAUGCCUUUUA
This 803-nucleotide long non-coding RNA is filed under the name Monodelphis domestica (gray short-tailed opossum). Its description in RNAcentral is "lncRNA (ENSMODG00000031437.2)". The record is from RNAcentral. Lineage: Eukaryota; Metazoa; Chordata; Mammalia; Didelphimorphia; Didelphidae.